AAAACGAGGUGAAUUGAAAUAUCUUACUAGCCUCAGGAAAAGAAAUCAAACGAGAUACUCUAAGUAAUGUGAAUGAAAGGAGUCAAGUCUGAAGGACCACCCAUAUAUACAUAAGGGUAGUCUAGUAAGUAAAGUGGAGUAUAUCUCAGCUUGAAAACUAGGGGAGCCUUCCUCUAAGACUAAAUAUGGUGUAUAAGCGAUAGCGAAGAAGUACCGAGAGGGAAAGGGUAGAAAUAGCAACUUUAUAAGCAGCUCUAGUGGAAUCUGGCAAGGAAACAGGAGCGUACCUUUUGCAUAAUGGGUCAGCAAGUUAAGAUUUGAUGCGAGCAGCUUUACAGUGUGAGGGUAUCCGAUGACCCUACCAGCUGCGAAGACAAGACGAUUAUAACAGAAAUGAUGUAGUAUCAGGUAUUAGACCCGAAGCUUAGUGAUCUUACCAUGGCCAGGGCUAUAAAGGCUCGAAGGGGUUGCUGUUGCAGAAGCAUCCCAAGAGCUGUGGUAAGUUAGUGAAAGACAACACUGACUAAGAUAGCUGGUUUUCCGCGAAACCUAUAUAAGUAGGUAGUUUAAAUGGGAUAUCAGGAGGUACAGAAUUGUGAUCCCAUGCAACUAGUACUGCUUUUCAUGCCUCUUAAGGGGGGUAAGGAACAAGGUGCUUUUUGCGGACAUUGGGGGUUCGUGAAGAAUCUAUCAGUGGGAAUUUGUUCUCGGAAGGCCUAGAUAUGAAUAUUGAACAAUCAGACGUAACACGAUAAGGUAAGGGAAACAGCCCAGAACAAGCGUAAAUAAGGUUCCUAAAUUGUUGUUAAGUGAAAGAAAGGUAGUUUUUAUCCCAAACGAUCAGGUAGUAGGCUUAGCAGCGGCCAUCUUUUGAAAAACUCGUAACAGAAUACUGGUUAUUAGCGCGGCUCCACUCCCAAUAGGGAGCGGAGUCAUGAGGGUAGAAGCGCCGAAGAUUCAGCGGAUCUAAAUAACAUACCGAUACCUUGUCCUAGUAUAGCAACCCUUCGUAAAACAGGGGCAAGUAUAUAUUAAGGGUAGCGGAACAUUGGGGAAGUUUAUUACGAUGUCUUUAUGAGGCAUAUAUGCGACAACCCAAUAGAGAAUGCUGACAUGAGUAACGAUAAAGGGGAAACCCUCGCCUAAAGCUUAUGGAAUUAUAUUAAAAGUCUUACGGCCUCUAAGCUAACCCCAAAAGGAGUAAGCGAUGAGAAAAUCUUAAGAGCUUACAGUACACAACGCCCCUAAAUCACUUUACCCAGUAGUCUUAAAAGGAUGAGGGUUAAGCUAGUGACAUGCGUUCAGGAAAAAUGUAAGCUCGGCAUCAGGGUGGCAUAUACCUAAGUUUUAAACGCAACUCAGCCAUAUGUCCCAUGUCGGUGGACCGUACCUAAAUACUAACACAAGUAAGCGAGUAGAGUAUACGAAGGCGUUCGAGUGAACAAUCAUUAAGGAACUCGGCAAAUUGACUCCGUAACUUCGGGAGAAGGUGGGCCAUCCCUUCUGAUUAAUAUUAGAUAGGGGGAGGAGGCACAGAAUGGUGUUGUACGACUGUUUAAUUAAAACAAAGCACACUGCAAAGAAAUAAAUUCGAAGUAUUGGGUGUGAUCUCUGCCCGAUGGCGGCUGGCUACCGGAUUUGCUUAGUUCACUAAUACAGGCUAGGCUUUGAAGGAACCCCCGUUCAAUGGCGGUCUUACGAUGAGGAUCCUAAGGUAGCGGAAUACCCUGGCCGUUAAAUGCGGUCUUGCAUGAAUGAUGUAACGAUACAACAGCUGUCUCAAUGAUUGGCUCGGUGAAAUUGGAAUAGCAGUGGCCUUGUUUAAACCUACGCUGCGUUGGUUAGAAUCCAACUCUAUAGUUCCAAUCAAAGGGAUGGGAUAAUUCUUGCGAGCAUGUUCCAUCAGCACUGGUUGCGGAGCAUCCCCUCCUAAAAGAAGAGAAUUAAAUAAUAUGGAUUAAGUUAAGGUUACAACCGCAUAGUCCUUUAGCUAUAGAAAAAUAAGGAGAAAACGGUUAAAGACAUCAGAGUCCAAGACCGUCGGCAAUUGUAAAUGUCGCUACAGGCUGGUUCUUCGGGGUUGAGCUGAAAUGUUCGUCCAAAUGUACAGUCGGGUUCUGUUGCUCCAUUAGGCAUCCCCUUUAUUUAGGAGGUGGUCAGCAGAAAUUGGCAGAUACUGUUUCCCUCUAGAUAGACGAGAAGACCCUAUGCAGCUUUACUGUUGCUAGUUACCGAAUAUGAUGUGCUGGGUUUCAGUGUAUAAGGUACCCGCCAGGGAAAAUUGAAACACCUUUACUUUAGCUUUCAUAUUAUAUAAACCCUACCAUCCAGAUAGGAUAGGUCUACUUAGGCCAUUCUUUAGAUGUCAUAUUAGUCCAUGAGUCUCCCCCAAGCUUGCUUGGGUGGACCGCGGAGCAGUCUACUGGAUAAGACAAAGGUAGAUGAACAAUUGCUAGGUGGCAGUUUAUGCGGGGCACAGAUCCCAUAAAAAGUACCUGGGAGUAACCUAAAUCACUUUCGUAAUAUCGCUAGUCGCCCUUCGCGAUUAGCAAUCCGUUAUAGGAUACGAGGCAAGGCUAUGCUUUUGGCUUUGUCUCUAUUAACAUGAAUUUGGCCUUAUCUACAGGCUCAUCCAGUUAUAGAUUCAUUUAAGUUGGAAUUAUUUUUAAAACCCAGUAAGAUUAUAUCUAUUAGUAAAUAUAGAUGUAGCCAGAUGGCCUUCUAGCAGGCUGAUCUUAAUUGUUUAACUCUUCGUCUUAGACAAGGAGGCCAAAUGAUACUAACUCUACUCACCAAGUUUAACGGCAGAAUCUUGCUUUACUGUAUGACCUACACGUCUACCAGUCGCGUAAGCGGGGCAUAAGAUCACAAGAUGCAGAAAGGAAAGGUCUUGGAUUAUUGGAAAAGCUACGCUAGGGAUUAAGCUUAGUCCUCAUGUAUAGAAAUAUACAUAGGUUUAAAUAGGAUUAAUUUCAAGGAUACUUUCUGGCUGAUGAAGGGGUGAUGCUACCUUGCAGCCACUCGCAUAAUGCAAGAAAAGUCAACUUGAAGCGAAGUUUGGUCCUACCUACAAGGGAUCAGGAACGUUUAACGACUAGAAGGUGAGUUAUGGAUGGUAUGCCUCAUUAGGCAAGCCAAAACAUGAUGAGAAUCCUUCCACGAAUAUCCUACGUCUAAUAGCUUAUGGCUGAAAUCUGACGAAGACAUAGUCUGAGCCACCUUGGAAAAGAUGGAAGUCAAAGAUAAAGAGCUUUCACGUUAACAAAGCUGAACAGGCUAAUUGCGCCAGAGAGUUCAAAUUGAGUGCGCAGUUUGGCACCUCGAUGUCGGCUUAGAUUAACCUUGAGGAUGCAGGAGCCUCAAAGGGUCCGACUGUUCGUCGGUUAAAAAUCUACACGAGCUGGGUUAAAUACGUCGUCAGACAGUACGGUUUCUAUCUUCUAGAGGCAGUAGAAUAAAAUAAGGUCAGCCCCUUGUACGAAAGGAGUUGGGUAUGUUAACCUAUUGUUUACCUGUUGUUUAUCCUCCUAUAUUAAUACGGAGUUGUGCUUUACAUGAAGCAUGCGCCGUGAUAUGUACGCCUAGCCGGUAUUUAUGCUGGCCCAUGGCUUACACUGGGACCCCACUCGUCAUUAGAGUGGUGGGUAGCAUAAGCUACGAUUAAGGAUAGGCACGGCAGGAAAGCUACGUUAGUUAUUGAUAAGUGCUGAAUGAAUAUAGGCACGAAGCAUACCUUAGGAUAUUCUUAUAUAUAUGUAGUUUAACACUACGAUUUGAGGU
RNAcentral lists this ribosomal RNA (3780 nucleotides) under Usnea subgracilis. RNAcentral's name for it is "large subunit ribosomal RNA". It matches the Rfam family "Bacterial large subunit ribosomal RNA". Lineage: Eukaryota; Fungi; Ascomycota; Lecanoromycetes; Lecanorales; Parmeliaceae. The record is from RNAcentral.